This 1047-nucleotide long non-coding RNA is filed under the name Microcebus murinus (gray mouse lemur). RNAcentral describes it as "lncRNA (ENSMICG00000048167.1)". Lineage: Eukaryota; Metazoa; Chordata; Mammalia; Primates; Cheirogaleidae. The record is from RNAcentral.
GAGCAGGAGGAAGUGGGUGGGGAGCGCAGGCGUCUAGAGGAUUUGUAUUUUGCUGUUGCUGGGCAGGGCUCUGAGAAAAGAGGAAGGAGAGAAACAUGCAGCCCUCUGGCGUCAUUCCUGCCAUCACUGCGGCCACAGCUGGGCCAUGGCCCAAGCUCACCAGGAAGAAAGUGGUGUGUGUGCUCCUUUUGCGACCAGAGCCGAGGUCUCGGAGGAGCUCUGAUCUAACUCUACAGCGCAGGCCUCACUAGAAAGGGGGGGUGGGCUUUGCGGAAAUACCUAUAUUGAAUACUAAACAUCUGUAUGUCCUUUACCUAUGUAUGCAAUACUUUAUCUUAUAACUCUUUGGAUUCUUACAAGCCUGGAAGGCAAUUAAGUCAAGCUGCUAUUAGCAAGCCCAUUUUAUAGAGAGGAUAACUGGGAUUCGCAAAGGUAAAAUGAAUUAUCUAAGAGUCUCGACUUGUAAGGGUAGAGCUGGGAGGUGAACACGUGCGCUGACUUUGGGUUCUUUGGUACUUGCUCGCUUAUCACUUUUGCUUCUCUCUCCAGGGCUUCAGGCUUGGCAGUCCCAGUUCUGCAGGGGCAGAGCAGGUUGCCAGGCCUCCAGGCCGGCGCCCCUUCCGCCGGCGCCCCUUCCUCCAGCGCCCCGGCCAGGCUACACGACGCACUUUUGUGUCGCGGCUCCACUGACCUACUCCUAUAUCAUCGGGUGAAGAGAAGUAAAACAGCUCUUUGGAGAAAAACUCAAUUCUCUGACAACAGCUUAUUACACAUGUAUUCUCAUGGAAGGUUUUUGAACAAGAGACAACUCAAAAUAACAAUAAUGACGAUGAUGCACCAUGGCUGAUAUAUUUGGUGCAUCUUCCAAUUAAAUCACAUAGACAGUGUUUUCCCUGUUUCCUUUAAUGUCUGGUCUUGGAAAAGAAUCACAUAUCUACUUUGGGGUUCUGAAUAUGAGCAAAUAUACUUCCACAUGACUCCUCGAGGGCAGAAUCAACUUGUUUUAGGAGACACAGGUGAAUUCAUAUGAGAUCAAAUAUUUUUGCC